GAUGAACGCUAGCUACAGGCUUAACACAUGCAAGUCGAGGGGAAACGACAUCGAAAGCUUGCUUUUGAUGGGCGUCGACCGGCGCACGGGCGAGUAACGCGUAUCCAACCUGCCCAUCACUUGGGAAUAACCUUGCGAAAGUAAGACUAAUACCCAAUGACAUCCCACGAAGACAUCUGCAUGGGAUUAAAGAUUUAUCGGUGAUGGAUGGGGAUGCGUCUGAUUAGCUUGUUGGCGGGGUAACGGCCCACCAAGGCAACGAUCAGUAGGGGUUCUGAGAGGAAGGUCCCCCACAUUGGAACUGAGACACGGUCCAAACGCCUACGGGAGGCAGCAGUGAGGAAUAUUGGUCAAUGGGCGAGAGCCGGAACCAGCCAAGUAGCGUGCAGGAUGACGGCCCUAUGGGUUGUAAACUGCUUGUAGAAGGGAAUAAAGUGGGUCUCGUGAGACUUUUUGCAUGUACCUGAUGAAUAAGGACCGGCUAAUUCCGUG
RNAcentral lists this ribosomal RNA (492 nucleotides) under uncultured bacterium. RNAcentral describes it as "partial 16S ribosomal RNA". It matches the Rfam family "Bacterial small subunit ribosomal RNA", at positions 28 to 507 of the family's 1533-position model. The record is from RNAcentral.